GACGAACGCUGGCGGCGUGCUUAACACAUGCAAGUCGAACGGUGAAGCUCCAGCUUGCUGGAGUGGAUCAGUGGCGAACGGGUGAGUAACACGUGAGCAACCUGCCCCUGACUCUGGAAUAAGCGCUGGAAACGGCGUCUAAUACUGGAUACGAGAAGGGUCCGCAUGGGCACUUUCUGGAAAGUUUUUCGGUUGGGGAUGGGCUCGCGGCCUAUCAGCUUGUUGGUGAGGUAAUGGCGCACCAAGGCGACGACGGGUAGCCGGCCUGAGAGGGCGACCGGCCACACUGGGACUGAGACACGGCCCAGACUCCUACGGUAGGCAGCAGUGGGGAAUAUUGCACAAUGGGCGAAAGCCUGAUGCAGCGACGCCGCGUGAGGGAUGACGGCCUUCGGGUUGUAAACCUCUUUCAGCAGGGAAGAAGCGAAAGUGACGGUACCUGCAGAAGAAGCACCGGCUAACUACGUG
RNAcentral lists this ribosomal RNA (468 nucleotides) under uncultured bacterium. Its description in RNAcentral is "partial 16S ribosomal RNA". It matches the Rfam family "Bacterial small subunit ribosomal RNA", at positions 28 to 507 of the family's 1533-position model. The record is from RNAcentral.